CCUACGGGAUGCAGCAGUGGGGAAUAUUGGACAAUGGGCGAAAGCCUGAUCCAGCCAUGCCGCGUGUGUGAAGAAGGCCUUCGGGUUGUAAAGCACUUUCAGUGGGGAAGAAAGCCUUGGGGCUAAUACCCUCGAGGAAGGACAUCACCCACAGAAGAAGCACCGGCUAACUCCGUGCCAGCAGCCGCGGUAAUACGGAGGGUGCGAGCGUUAAUCGGAAUUACUGGGCGUAAAGCGCGCGUAGGCGGUCUGAUAAGCCGGUUGUGAAAGCCCCGGGCUCAACCUGGGAACGGCAUCCGGAACUGUCAGGCUAGAGUGCAGGAGAGGAAGGUAGAAUUCCCGGUGUAGCGGUGAAAUGCGUAGAGAUCGGGAGGAAUACCAGUGGCGAAGGCGGCCUUCUGGACUGACACUGACGCUGAGGUGCGAAAGCGUGGGUAGCAAACAGGAUUAGAUACCCAGUAGUC
RNAcentral lists this ribosomal RNA (464 nucleotides) under Vreelandella stevensii. RNAcentral describes it as "partial 16S ribosomal RNA". It matches the Rfam family "Bacterial small subunit ribosomal RNA", at positions 338 to 795 of the family's 1533-position model. The record is from RNAcentral. Lineage: Bacteria; Pseudomonadati; Pseudomonadota; Gammaproteobacteria; Oceanospirillales; Halomonadaceae.